Xyrichtys novacula (pearly razorfish) is the source of this 129-nucleotide non-coding RNA. NCBI's taxonomy places the organism in Eukaryota, Metazoa, Chordata, Actinopteri, Labriformes, Labridae. The record is from the annotation of a GenBank genome assembly.
ACUUUCCUUGUCAUGGGGUGGUAUGGGAAACUCAAUGAACGUUUAGUGAGAGUUACCCUGCUAACACCAUAAUCAACACAUAAGCAUCACCUGGGCUUCUGCUCAGAUACUGGUGCAAUUUUUGGAAAC